AACGCUAGCUACAGGCUUAACACAUGCAAGUCGAGGGGAAACGACAUCGAAAGCUUGCUUUUGAUGGGCGUCGACCGGCGCACGGGUGAGUAACGCGUAUCCAACCUGCCCACCACUUGGGGAUAACCUUGCGAAAGUAAGACUAAUACCCAAUGAUAUCUCUAGAAGACAUCUGAAAGAGAUUAAAGAUUUAUCGGUGAUGGAUGGGGAUGCGUCUGAUUAGCUUGUUGGCGGGGUAACGGCCCACCAAGGCAACGAUCAGUAGGGGUUCUGAGAGGAAGGUCCCCCACAUUGGAACUGAGACACGGUCCAAACUCCUACGGGAGGCAGCAGUGAGGAAUAUUGGUCAAUGGGCGAGAGCCUGAACCAGCCAAGUAGCGUGCAGGAAGACGGCCCUAUGGGUUGUAAACUGCUUUUAUAAGGGAAUAAAGUGAGUCUCGUGAGACUUUUUGCAUGUACCUUAUGAAUAAGGACCGGCUAAUUCCGUGCCAGCAGCCGCGGUAAUACGGAAGGUCCGGGCGUUAUCCGGAUUUAUUGGGUUUAAAGGGAGCGUAGGCCGGAGAUUAAGCGUGUUGUGAAAUGUAGACGCUCAACGUCUGCACUGCAGCGCGAACUGGUUUCCUUGAGUACGCACAAAGUGGGCGGAAUUCGUGGUGUAGCGGUGAAAUGCUUAGAUAUCACGAAGAACUCCGAUUG
This 696-nucleotide ribosomal RNA is filed under the name uncultured bacterium. RNAcentral's name for it is "bacterial SSU rRNA". It matches the Rfam family "Bacterial small subunit ribosomal RNA", at positions 32 to 715 of the family's 1533-position model. The record is from RNAcentral.